Molecule: long non-coding RNA, 1133 nt
Filed under: Laticauda laticaudata (blue-ringed sea krait)
Lineage: Eukaryota; Metazoa; Chordata; Lepidosauria; Squamata; Elapidae
Description: lncRNA (ENSLLTG00000004841.1)
Source: RNAcentral
AUAAGUGCCAACUGGUUGUCACCUCGCUGCAGCAACUGGCUAGGAACAGGGGGUCUGCGUUCGCGUGUGUGUGUGUGUGUGUGUGAGAGAGAGAGAAAGAGAGGCCAAAGCACAAGAUAAAGAGCCUGCGGUCUGCCGAAGGGUUUGAGGCUGAGGUAAACAACCCGCGGUCCACCCGCUCCUGGCACCAACGGGAGGCGGAGAAGCCCUAAGGGAAAACCAAAGCCGCCGCCUUCAGGUUUCCCCUCCUCGGCCAAGCCACUGGGCGACGCCGGGUCUUCUAACCCCACUUAGUCGCCCCCGCGAACUCUUGGCCGUCGAGGAACUUCGGCAUCUCGCGUGGGGGCUCCCUUUGUCAUGAAGUCCGACGGAGACAGCAGACGCUGGAAACGCGGGCGCGACUAAAUGGGGAAUCCCGAGUGGCGCUGCUCGACGAAGCUACCCCGCUAUCCCGAGCCGGAGGAGGAGGAGGAGGAGGAAACGCCGUCGCUUUGGCCGGGGAGGCAGAGCCCACGGAAACCCGUCGCCCCCAAGACCAGCGGGAUUGAGCGAAGGACGCCGGGAACCAUGACACGCCCGGACUUCCCUCGGUGCGCGUGGCUGGCGGAGAUCGGAGGGAAGCGGGCUGAGGGGCCGACCUGGCGGAGGGCGAAGAGACACCGGCCCCUCCCCUUUCAAGAGCGCCCGGCUUUCCCCUCGCAGCCGCUGCAGGGCCACCUUCAGCAGCUCCUCAUCUUCGUAGCCCCUCUUUUAAGUCCGGAGAGGGAAGUCCCCGUAUCCGAAAGUCGGGAUUCCGCUCGAACUCCUUGAUGCCCAUGGAGGAGCUUCUUCAUGGAAAUGUCCAGCAGCUGGAAUAGCGGAGAAAGGUCGGGAGCGCAAGUGUCCCGCUUCGGGCUCUCUUCUUCCCCAAAAUGCCCCUCACGGUUCCCAAUUCGCCGCUGUUUUCCUCUGGCUUGGAGAGCGGAGCCGGAGCCCGGACGCAGCUCUCGCCGGUACUUUCCUGCCCAAGGGCCACUUUACCUUCCGAUCCUCUCAGCCGGCGAGUGCGAAAGAAAGAAAGAAAGAAAGAAAGAAAGAAAGAAAGAAAGAAAGAAAGAAAGAAAGAAAGAAAACUCCUAGCGGAGGUUCCCGAG